RNAcentral lists this ribosomal RNA (429 nucleotides) under Bacteroidota bacterium. RNAcentral describes it as "Bacteroidetes bacterium partial 16S ribosomal RNA". It matches the Rfam family "Bacterial small subunit ribosomal RNA", at positions 355 to 776 of the family's 1533-position model. The record is from RNAcentral. Lineage: Bacteria; Pseudomonadati; Bacteroidota.
UAGGGAAUCUUCCGCAAUGGACGCAAGUCUGACGGAGCAACGCCGCGUGAGUGAAGAAGGUUUUCGGAUCGUAAAGCUCUGUUGUUAAGGAAGAACGAGUGUGAGAAUGGAAAGUUCAUACUGUGACGGUACUUAACCAGAAAGGGACGGCUAACUACGUGCCAGCAGCCGCGGUAAUACGUAGGUCCCGAGCGUUGUCCGGAUUUAUUGGGCGUAAAGCGAGCGCAGGCGGUUAGAUAAGUCUGAAGUUAAAGGCAGUGGCUCAACCAUUGUAGGCUUUGGAAACUGUUUAACUUGAGUGCAGAAGGGGAGAGUGGAAUUCCAUGUGUAGCGGUGAAAUGCGUAGAUAUAUGGAGGAACACCGGUGGCGAAAGCGGAUCUCUGGUCUGUAACUGACGCUGAGGUUCGAAAGCGUGGGUAGCAAACAGG